Molecule: transfer RNA, 75 nt
Filed under: Acholeplasmataceae bacterium
Lineage: Bacteria; Bacillati; Mycoplasmatota; Mollicutes; Acholeplasmatales; Acholeplasmataceae
Also listed under: 3 other names
Description: tRNA-Glu
Rfam family: tRNA
About the family: Transfer RNA (tRNA) molecules are approximately 80 nucleotides in length. Their secondary structure includes four short double-helical elements and three loops (D, anti-codon, and T loops).
Source: RNAcentral
GGCCCCAUGGUCAAGUGGUUAAGACGCUGCCCUCUCAAGGCGGAGUCAGGGGUUCAAUUCCCCUUGGGGCUACCA